CAAUGUGGCCAGAUCUCAGAAGCUAAGCAGGGCCGGGCCUGGUCAUUACUUGGGUGGGAGACCGCUGGGAAUACUCGGUGUCACAGUGA
RNAcentral lists this ribosomal RNA (89 nucleotides) under Periophthalmus magnuspinnatus. The record is from RNAcentral. Lineage: Eukaryota; Metazoa; Chordata; Actinopteri; Gobiiformes; Gobiidae.